AGCUCCAAUAGCGUAUAUUAAAGUUGUUGCGGUUAAAAAGCUCGUAGUUGGAUUUCUGUUGGUGACGGCCCGUCCGUGCUAUGCGCGUGUAUGAGGUUCGACGCCGGCAUCCUUGUGGGGAACGUCUUCGCGCUUAACUGCGUGGGGCGGAAUUCACAACUUUUACUUUGAGGAAAUUAGAGUGUUCACGGCAGGCAAUCGCCUUGAAUAUAUUAGCAUGGAAUAAUAACAUAGGACCUUGAUUCUAUUUUGUUGGUUUCUAGAAUUUAGGUAAUGAUUAAUAGGGACAAUUGGGGGCAUUUGUAUUAACACGUCAGAGUGGAAUUCUUGGAUUGUGUUACGACAACUACUGCGAAAGCAUUUGCCAAGGAUGUUUUCA
This 379-nucleotide ribosomal RNA is filed under the name uncultured eukaryote. Its description in RNAcentral is "SSU rRNA". It matches the Rfam family "Eukaryotic small subunit ribosomal RNA", at positions 587 to 972 of the family's 1831-position model. The record is from RNAcentral.